UGCUUGUAGUACAAUGCCUGUUGGUCUCGAA
Molecule: non-coding RNA, 31 nt
Filed under: Rattus norvegicus (Norway rat)
Lineage: Eukaryota; Metazoa; Chordata; Mammalia; Rodentia; Muridae
Source: RNAcentral